RNAcentral lists this ribosomal RNA (492 nucleotides) under uncultured bacterium. Its description in RNAcentral is "partial 16S ribosomal RNA". It matches the Rfam family "Bacterial small subunit ribosomal RNA", at positions 29 to 507 of the family's 1533-position model. The record is from RNAcentral.
AGUGAACGCUGGCGGUAGGCCUAACACAUGCAAGUCGAACGGCAGCACAGUAAGAGCUUGCUCUUACGGGUGGCGAGUGGCGGACGGGUGAGGAAUACAUCGUAAUCUACUUUUUCGUGGGGGAUAACGUAGGGAAACUUACGCUAAUACCGCAUACGACCUACGGGUGAAAGCAGGGGAUCUUCGGACCUUGCGCGAUUGAAUGAGCCGAUGUCGAAUUAGCUAGUUGGCGGGGUAAAGGCCCACCAAGGCGACGAUCCGUAGCUGGUCUGAGAGGAUGGUAAGCCACACUGGAACUUAGACACGGUCCAGACUCCUACGGGAGGCAGCAGUGGGGAAUAUUGGACAAUGGGCGCAAGCCUGAUCCAGCCAUACCGCGUGGGUGAAGAAGGCCUUCGGGUUGUAAAGCCCUUUUGUUGGGAAAGAAAAGCAGCAGGUUAAUACCCCGCUGUUCUGACGGUACCCAAAGAAUAAGCACCGGCUAACUUCGUG